AAUCUAUGGUGCGAGAAACAUCGAAGCAAGUCCUUGUAUCUCUUCCAGGCAUCAUACAUGCUUUCGUCAUCGAACUGCACAAAUGAAGAUAUGUCAUUUCUUAAUUU
Ricinus communis (castor bean) is the source of this 107-nucleotide non-coding RNA. The record is from Rfam. NCBI's taxonomy places the organism in Eukaryota, Viridiplantae, Streptophyta, Magnoliopsida, Malpighiales, Euphorbiaceae.